GCGCGUACGCUGUUACCGUCGCUACUAAACGAACAGACUCGUAGUCACAAACAGCAGGAGAGAAUGUUUCUGCGUUAAAGAGCCAGUGGCGUCGUUCACACCCACGUCCGGCUCGAUCGGUUGUAUGGGACAACUUUCAACGUGAUAGUCUAUUCGCUGUAGAAUUUUACACUGUGUGUGCCCCCCUCUUGAUCGGACAUCUCUGGUAUUUUAAGCAAAUUCGAACAUUCUUUAAAUAAACGAGAGACAAAUCGUCAUUUAGCGAGAAAAACGAUCGCCAGUAUCUCGACUCCACUCCGACACGACACUGCUGUGUAUUGUAAGCAAGAAACGCACGAAAAAUUUACAUAAUAUUCUAACUGUAAGAGUUAGUUUUUGUUUGUUUCAUUAACACAGUGGCGAAAAUAAAUUAAAAGAAAGUGCGAAAGUGUCUCAAAUUUUAAGACAAAUAUUGAAAAAAAAUCUUCUAACUCAGAGCAGGUAACACCCUAAUGGUCAAUGAGAAGUGAUAAUACAUACACGUAGCGCAAUUUAAAGUUUGUGAUUAUGAAGAAAAUUUGUAACCAAAGCUAUGAGUCGAUUUUUAAGGAAGUAUGGCAUGUGGGUAGUUGCACUGCCUGCCGUGUGUUUGUAAGUUAAAUUUCGCGUGAAUGCGAUCGUGCUUUGGCUAAACCCCCAACAAUCUCUAGCUCUCAGUAGCGACAUCGCAAAUUUAUCUGAAUUGCUCCAAGUUCACAAUCACUCAUGCAAAAAAGCGGAAACAUGGUAAAAGCCGGCCGUGGUAAUAAAAGUCAUGUUUUUGAGUUUUCCGCUCAGCGGAAGCAGUGUUAUGCCAGAAAUUUUCGCCAGUAUCUUUGGUGUGUAAAAAAAAGUAGUUAAGCUCGUGGUGUGCGUUAGCUCUAAUAUUAAAUUUGUGUUUACACGCGGCACUAGCAGUGCGGAGCCAAGAACGGUGGUAUUCCUGAUUUAAACAUCUGUGCGACGUGAGGCGAAUUUCAUAUUAUUGUGAUCGAUUCUGAUCGCGAAGAAAACCUGCGAGGAAGGUGAUUGAAAAAGAAUAGUAGCUACACUGCAUGACUCACCGGCACGAGUAAUUCACAGAGGAGCAGAGCCGUAUACUAGAUUGCACUUGGCAAAGUAUUAUUCUGAGCCAACGCAAUCGAGCGAAGCGAGAAUUAUGUGAAGUGAGAUCAAAUUGCAUACUGAUGUGAUGAUUACCGGGGCGUCAUUCCAAUUUUUGAAACCACAAAGAAUGGAACAAUUAGUUUUUCGUACUGACAUUGCAACAAAGAGGACUGUUUCCAUCGAUGGCGUUUUUGUCUAUACGUGAUUUUUACCCAACAAGGAAAAGCUAUAAUUUCAGGAAAAGUGGAAAAAGUUACGUCAAUUCAUUUCGAAAUUGAAUCAUCACCGCCUUAGUUUUAGUGACUCAAUAUGACUUGAAAGAUCAAUAACGGUGGCCAAGUCCUUGAAAUCAGACAGUAUGAGGAAAGAGAUUGUUAGCGUGACUAUUGCUGUUUGUAGACCGUGUUAACCUUUACAUCUGCACAAAGAUCACAGG
This is a long non-coding RNA of Wyeomyia smithii (pitcher-plant mosquito), 1561 nucleotides long. RefSeq lists it as uncharacterized. Lineage: Eukaryota; Metazoa; Arthropoda; Insecta; Diptera; Culicidae. The transcript is spliced from 2 exons. The record is from RefSeq and is a predicted model, not a curated record.